Molecule: long non-coding RNA, 1031 nt
Organism: Schistocerca cancellata (South American locust)
Lineage: Eukaryota; Metazoa; Arthropoda; Insecta; Orthoptera; Acrididae
Exons: 2
Source: RefSeq, a predicted model, not a curated record
GUUUUAUGAAAUAUUAUUUUAAAUUUUUAAAAGUAGAUUUUAUUUGUUGUACCUUUUGUAUCAUGGUUUAUCAAAAUUUUAGUAUUUAUUUUACUUGUCUCGAUUUGGGUUGAUUUAUAAUUAAUUUAUAGUUAAUGUAUCAUAAUUAUUAUUAAAUUAUUUAUAGAAAUGAGAUGUUAAUCGUUUCCCAAGAUAUCUAGUUUCUUAAGAAAAAAUUUAAUUUUUUGAAGUUAAUUGUUUUUAUUUAAAUUUUUAAGUAUAAAUAUUAACUUAUUUAUUCUUUAAGGGAUAAGCUUUGAAGUUAAUAACCUAUAAUUUGUUUUAUAAAAUAUAAUAGUAAGCUUUAAACCAGCUAUCUCUAAGAUUACGUUUUAGUUCAUUAUUUUUUAUUUUGAUUUUAUAAUUAUUUUAGGUUUUUUAUUAAGAUUAUUUAUUUAAUUUUAAAAUUUUUGUAAUAAUGAUAGAAUUAGUAUAUUUAUUUGUAUAUAAUUUUUACCUUGUGAAUUUAUUAUAAGGAACUAGGCAAAAUUGAUUUCCACCUGUUUAUCAAAAACAUGUCCUCUUGAAAAUACUUUGAGGUCUGGCCUGCUCACUGAGCAGAUUUUUAAAGAGCCGCGGUAUUUUGACCGUGCAAAGGUAGCAUAAUCAUUAGUCUCUUAAUUAGUAGCUGGAGUGAAUGGCUUGACGAGAAAUCAACUGUCUCUUAAUAUAUUUUUGAAUUUAACUUUUGAGUCAAAAGGCUUAAAUUUUUCUUUAGGACAAGAAGACCCUAUAGAGCUUAACAUUUUAUUUUUAUAUAGUAUUUUGUUUGUCUUUCUAUACUUAAUGAUGAUGUUUUGUUGGGGUGACAUGAAGAAUAAAUAAACUCUUCAUUAUUAUAUCAUUUAUUUAUGUUUGUUGUUUUGAUCCAUAAUUUAUGAUCAUAAGAUUAAGUUACCUUAGGGAUAACAGCGUAAUUGUUUUUGAGAGCUCAUAUCGACAAAGCAGAUUGCGACCUCGAUGUUGGAUUAAGAAAAAUUUUGGGUGCAGUA